This 274-nucleotide ribosomal RNA is filed under the name uncultured bacterium. RNAcentral describes it as "partial 16S ribosomal RNA". It matches the Rfam family "Bacterial small subunit ribosomal RNA", at positions 523 to 796 of the family's 1533-position model. The record is from RNAcentral.
AUACGGGGGGUGCAAGCGUUAAUCGGAAUUACUGGGCGUAAAGCGCGCGUAGGCGGUUUGCUCAGUCGGAUGUGAAAGCCCAGGGCUCAACCUUGGAACUGCAUACGAUACUGGCAAACUAGGGUGUGAGAGAGGAUAGUGGAAUUUCCGGUGUAGCGGUGAAAUGCGUAGAUAUCGGAAGGAACAUCAGUGGCGAAGGCGACUGUCUGGCUCAACACUGACGCUGAGGUGCGAAAGCGUGGGUAGCAAACAGGAUUAGAAACCCUAGUAGUCC